AUACGGAGGGUGCAAGCGUUAUCCGGAUUCAUUGGGUUUAAAGGGUACGUAGGCGGAUAGAUAAGUUAGUGGUGAAAUCCCGAAGCUCAACUUCGGAACUGCCAUUAAAACUGUCUAUCUUGAAUUUGGUUGAAGUGGGCGGAAUAUGACAUGUAGCGGUGAAAUGCAUAGAUAUGUCAUGGAACACCGAUAGUGAAGACAGCUCACUAAGCCAAUAUUGACGCUGAGGUACGAAAGCAUGGGUAGCGAACAGGAGUAGAAACCCCAGUAGUCC
Molecule: ribosomal RNA, 274 nt
Filed under: uncultured bacterium
Lineage: Bacteria
Description: partial 16S ribosomal RNA
Rfam family: Bacterial small subunit ribosomal RNA
Source: RNAcentral